AUUCUGACCCGCCCUUUCAAAGGGCGGGUUUACUUUUUGUUUUUAUUUUUUUCUUAGAAAUUUAAUUUAUAUAUAUAUAUAUAUUUGUCAUCAUAUUUAUGUUAUUAUUUGUAAUCAUAUUUGUGUAUACAUUUUAAUCAAAAAAAUAUUUUUCAAAAUAAUAGCAACUAAGAAGUUGAUCCGACAUACUCUAUAUUCCUUAUAAUCAUAUGUUUGUAUGCCCGUUUUUUUGUAAUCAUAUUUGCUUAUUCUAGAUCUUCACCCGUAGAUAUAAUGUUACUUUAUAAUUUAUUUAUAUUUCUGUA
Molecule: long non-coding RNA, 305 nt
Filed under: Brassica napus (rape)
Lineage: Eukaryota; Viridiplantae; Streptophyta; Magnoliopsida; Brassicales; Brassicaceae
Description: long non-coding RNA (BNAP_LNC008203)
Source: RNAcentral